Molecule: ribosomal RNA, 468 nt
Filed under: uncultured bacterium
Lineage: Bacteria
Description: partial 16S ribosomal RNA
Rfam family: Bacterial small subunit ribosomal RNA
Source: RNAcentral
GACGAACGCUGGCGGCGUGCUUAACACAUGCAAGUCGAACGGUGAAGCUCCAGCUUGCUGGCGUGGAUCAGUGGCGAACGGGUGAGUAACACGUGAGCAACCUGCCCCAGACUCUGGAAUAAGCGCUGGAAACGGCGUCUAAUACUGGAUACGAGAUCAAGCCGCAUGGUUAUGGUCUGGAAAGUUUUUCGGUUUGGGAUGGGCUCGCGGCCUAUCAGCUUGUUGGUGAGGUAAUGGCUCACCAAGGCGACGACGGGCAGCCGGCCUGAGAGGGCGACCGGCCACACUGGGACUGAGACACGGCCCAGACUCCUACGGGAGGCAGCAGUGGGGAAUAUUGCACAAUGGGCGAAAGCCUGAUGCAGCGACGCCGCGUGAGGGAUGACGGCCUUCGGGUUGUAAACCUCUUUCAGCAGGGAAGAAGCGAAAGUGACGGUACCUGCAGAAGAAGCACCGGCUAACUACGUG